This 240-nucleotide ribosomal RNA is filed under the name uncultured bacterium. RNAcentral's name for it is "partial 16S ribosomal RNA". It matches the Rfam family "Bacterial small subunit ribosomal RNA", at positions 96 to 339 of the family's 1533-position model. The record is from RNAcentral.
UGGCGGACGGGUGAGUAACGCGUAGGAAUCUGCCUGAUAGUGGGGGAUAGCCCGGGGAAACCCGGAUUAAUACCGCAUACGUCCUACGGGAGAAAGUGGGGGAUCUUCGGACCUCACGCUAUCAGAUGAGCCUAGGUCGGAUUAGCUAGUUGGUAGGGUAAAGGCCUACCAAGGCUACGAUCCGUAACUGGUCUGAGAGGAUGAUCAGUCACACUGGAACUGAGACACGGCCCAGACUCC